CAAUUAUUCAAGUCCUUUUCAUAUCGUCUUGUCAAUUAAACGACUGAUACGAGUCGACAAAGAGCAUCAAUAAUUCAAACUACACACUAGAUUUCAAUGUAACGGCGGGUACAUCUACUUACACAAAUUAACCGAAGAAUAAAGUACUAGUCGAUUAUUUCGUAUUCAAGACAGCUGUGGCUUUGAAAGAGACACAGACACCUGAAGUAUACAAGCAGAACGUAAUUCGACGUUUCGAGCGAAGGCCCUAACUUUCAGACGAAGGCCCUUCGUUCAAAACCUGAAGACGAAGUUCCGCUUAUACUUUUCAGGUAGUUGAACUAUCUCAAUCCUCAGCUACACCAGUGGUGUAGUCCAGGAAUGUUAAGGGCUCUCCAAAUGUGUCCUGAAUUGGCGGGGAGGGGGU
Paramuricea clavata is the source of this 406-nucleotide non-coding RNA. NCBI's taxonomy places the organism in Eukaryota, Metazoa, Cnidaria, Anthozoa, Malacalcyonacea, Plexauridae. The record is from the annotation of a GenBank genome assembly.